GUUAAUUGAGUCAUAGCUUUUCAUCUAGUUUCUCAUAAUCAGUAUCUGUUAUUAUAACAAUUAAGUUAUACAAGGUGUUGUGGUACACUAUGAUGGUGGUUCAUGAUACAUAAUGUAGAGAGCUACUAGGAUGGAGGCAUAAGAUGGCGUUUUAUAGUGAUGGCCAAUGGUUGAUUUCGUGUUGUAUGUGUCUCCUGUUUAUAUGUCUUUAUUCUUGCCACUUUGAUAUUGGAAG
RNAcentral lists this long non-coding RNA (235 nucleotides) under Gossypium barbadense (sea-island cotton). Its description in RNAcentral is "long non-coding RNA (GBAR_LNC017484)". The record is from RNAcentral. Lineage: Eukaryota; Viridiplantae; Streptophyta; Magnoliopsida; Malvales; Malvaceae.